GGAGAAAUGGUCGAGUUGGUUUAAGGCACCGGUCUUGAAAACCGACGUACUUUUAUCGGUACCUAGGGUUCGAAUCCCUAUUUCUCCUCCA
This 91-nucleotide transfer RNA is filed under the name Clostridium vincentii. RNAcentral describes it as "tRNA-Ser". It matches the Rfam family "tRNA". Rfam says of the family: Transfer RNA (tRNA) molecules are approximately 80 nucleotides in length. Their secondary structure includes four short double-helical elements and three loops (D, anti-codon, and T loops). Further hydrogen bonds mediate the characteristic L-shaped molecular structure. tRNAs have two regions of fundamental functional importance: the anti-codon, which is responsible for specific mRNA codon recognition, and the 3' end, to which the tRNAs corresponding amino acid is attached (by aminoacyl-tRNA synthetases). tRNAs cope with the degeneracy of the genetic code in two manners: having more than one tRNA (with a specific anti-codon) for a particular amino acid; and 'wobble' base-pairing, i.e. permitting non-standard base-pairing at the 3rd anti-codon position. The record is from RNAcentral. Lineage: Bacteria; Bacillati; Bacillota; Clostridia; Eubacteriales; Clostridiaceae.